AGGUUUUCUCUGAAACUGUGAAAAGCCUGCAGUUCUUUCCAGGUGGAAUAUGCUUCAGAAAAUUACAAAAAAGCCCACAGAAUAAAAUCCCUCAUGUGAUAGCUAUCCUUCAGCCUCAGGACCAUGUAUUGCUAUUUAUUGAUAUAAAACUUGCUGCUAUUUUGGGCAGAAUCCUGAUUCAAAGAUUCCUGUUUGGAUCACUCUUACCAGGGAUUAUGUCUGGCAGACAUCAGAUCUACGCCAGAAUUUGAGAGAUUCCAUCACAGACAUUGGAAAGAGCAACCUUGGGCUCUAUCAGCUUAAAGAGUCUUCAGGGCCUGGGAGCCAGCAUGGUGAUAUAUGCUGCAUGUCUGCCAAAAGAAUCCAGCAUCUGCUGAACUCAAAGCAGUGAUGACCACACAGGGAGGAUGCUAUGCUCCUAUCCUCUCAUCUUCAAUCAGGUCACCACAUAGGUGCAUAAGGGCUUCUAUACUGUAUCUGUACUGCUAAAUCGCUCGUGCCGUAUUUCCAAGAAAAUCUUCAGUGAUUUGUAGAUCUUGUUCAGCAGAUAUGGAGACUACUUCUAUUCCUGGACAGGGCUUGUCUUGCUUUCCCGUUCAUUUCUCUCACUUGCCCCCUCAUACUCUACCUCACAGCAAGUUACAGCACCUGGUCCCUGGCUGCACCUUGACUUCUGUACUUGAAGCCCUCUGGUUCUGCUCUGCCCUUCAGCCUCAGACCUAUUGGUUGCUCAUUAUGUUUCUCUUGAACAUCUUCACUUGCUCUUUUCCAAAUUACUAGCUCUCCUGAAGCCUGGUUUUAAAAAUUGUUUUCAUUUUUAGGGAAGCACAUGGAUUUGGUGAUUUUUAGUGAAAGGAUAACAGAAAAGCUUAUCCAGACAGAUGUGCGCCCUCGGUAGUUAAGAGUACUCAUGUGGAAGUGGUGCUUAAAAACUGCUAAAGUUCUUUAAAUAGAAAUAUCUUCACAUUUCUAAGCAAAGCUUCUGAUGAGUUUCUUCACAGCCUGGGCAUAUGCAGUUUGGAGACAGUGAAGUGAGGCUUGAUUAAAUUCUGUGUGAACGUUUCAAGUUCUGGAAUAGUGCUGACAUCUGCUGUUUAUUCUUACCACAUACAUUAAACAUAGGAUAGGGAAUUACUGCCUCUGUGCUUUUUGCUGUCUCAUUUCCAUGCAAAUAUUGCAAGUCAUUUUAUUUCCCACAAAGUAACAUUAAUGGAAGUCACAAGAUACAGUAAAAUUUACCAUGGUCAAUAAAGGUGUGGGAUUUUGAGACAAGAAAAAAGGAGUUCACAGCAAAGAAGAAACUGAAUAUUCAUCCUUUUAAAUGACCAUUGAUGUUUUUAGGUGAGAAAAGGGCUUCAGAAAGGUGGGCUAAGGAAUGAAGUUCCCUGUGCACAGGGCAAAUAUUUAGCCUGAAAGCUCUUUGGUGCAGAGACCACUUUUCAGUCAUCCAUUUCUACAGGAGCUCUUAAAAUGCUGGAGUCCUAAUCCACAUCCAGGAGAGCUGGCUGCUGUGGCAGGAUGAAAGAAUUACAACAAUAGUGGAAGAGCACAGCUGCCUCCUCCUCCUCACGUGCCUCCAUGCCAGGCUUCAACAUGGCCCAGCUGCAUCAGUCCAAGGGGACUCACCUGCCAGCAAGGCCACAAACAUGGGUACCGGUCAAGGUCGCCUGAGCAGGUGUCACUGCUGAGCACUCCAGGGAGUGCACGCAAAGAGCUGGCGUGAGACACCAACUUGUUUCAUACAGGUUUUGAAAGAGCUAUCAUGGGCCAUUUUGUCACUGCUAGGGCUGGGCUGGAUUGGCAACAUGCAAUGUGCUUUGCAUUUCAGCUCUUGCCAGGCAUCCUCCCUUCUAUCCUCACCCUCCAAAAUUGUUCAGGACAGAACAGUUUUAGAUGACGAGAUUUUUUUUGUGAUGAGGUCGCUGUUACAACAGACAGCAGGGAGAAGACAAGCACAGGAGGGGCUGUGGAAAUCCCAGGUGUAUCCUGUUAGUGUGGCACCCGAGAACACUUCCUGUUUCCAUUCUCAAAAGAAAGCAUAUCUUUUAUCUAAACUAAGUGGCCACAUGCACUGAUCUAUGCAACUAUGGUGGUUGUAAAUUGCAUUUCCUUUACUAGGCAUUGCAAUUAAUCACACAGAUAUUUCCGGUUUUAGGAUCUGCUUCCUAUGACAAAUAUCGUGAGUCAGAGACAAGCAAAAUUUUCAGAUUGGUUUUAAAAUGCAAAAGCCUUUAAAAUAACAUUCCAGUUCUUUUUGUCUGCAUUGUGAUAUUACAGUCCAUUAUAGUUUCUCUUUUCAAAACUUUUCACCACAGCUGUCAAGCCUGUAAUAUUUUUUUUUUCUUGUAAAAUGUCUCAUUCUCAUUCGUGUGAAUCCAGAAGCUAGGCUUUUAAGACGCUUGCAAUUACAUUGGGAGAAUUGUGCUGCAGCCUUCCUGGGAGACAAUGAUAGUAUUUUAAUGAUGUCACUGCCAAGGGUCAGGUUUCUGGAGUCUUUGGCUUUGGUUCUGCAAUGACUUCCAAUGAAUAUGCUGAAGUUGGUAGGGUUCCCUCAGGAGCAAAGGUGGCAGCAGGUUAUAUCAUUGAGAAAAGCUUAAGUCAUAAAUACAAAGUAAAACCAAAAUAUCAAUCCUAGAAAAAGCUGUGAAUUUGAAUAUUCUUUGCAUUAUAAUAGAAGCAUUUGUAUUCCCUUUCUUAAGAGAGCACAAACAUGAACAAUAGUGUGAUAAAAAGACAAUAAUAUGCCUGGCACUGAAAAUAUUUAACUUUUUUGCAUAUGAAUUAAAUUAACAAGUACAGUCAGUCUCAAACUUGUUAUUAUUAUGUAAAAAUAGUAAUAAGUGAAAUUUAGAAAACAUUCAAAUCCCAUGAAAGAUAAUUUCAGUAAUGGAAAUUAGAAAUAAAUAGGUGACAUAUGACACUGUCUUGGGCUAGAAAAGAUCUCGACCUUGGAGUUAUAGUCUCAGUGAGUACAAAUAAUCUCUAAGAAGUCACUGAAGUUUCACAUUAAGCCAAAGCUGGGGCUGGCACAAUGCCUCCAUCUUGGUCUCAGCUGGGAACUGGCCCAUGCUCCCUGCACCCCUGAGACCGUGGGAGAGCACGAUGGGUUUCCAGCAUGCCCGUGUGCCCCUUUAGGGGCCUGUAUGUGCCCAGGGAGCUGCUGGACUCAGAGUAGCUGUCCUUACUUACACAGCUGAGGGUUUCCCUGCAUGCACAUGGUAUCACAGCGCGCUUGGCCUCCCAUCACGCCCCAAAGGGGGUGCAGAGCAAAGAGGAGAAGCAGAGCCAUGCCUUGCUCAUAGUCACUGCUGCACAAGCACCACUCUCCCUGCCUGCAGGGGAUGAUUGGUGGGGAGGACAACAGGUAACCCCCUGCAUGAAGAAAUUUCCAUUGAGUUUUAUUUUGUGCAGCUUCACAAAGUUGCGAGAGUUGCUUUAGGUUUCAUGGCAUCGCACAGUUCAUUUCACAGAACGGAGAAAGCUGUGGAGAGCAUGAGGGCAAUUACAAGUCAGACCUAAGGAAUCAGUGGCAUUUUGAGUCUUCUGUGCUAGAGAGUCUUUGCUAUAUUAAAGACCAGUGAUUUUAUUUUGCAAAAUCCUUUUAGUUAAACUUCCCCUGCCAUAUACCCAAACUUUUGUCUCACUAGCCACUCAAAUUUUAUUUAUUCAGCCAUUAGAAUUUUUGACAAAUUCACCUUUGGCUGAAUUACUAGUUCUCCACAAGAUGCUUUGGUGUGACUACAUUAUUUUGACAUGGCUGUGAGGGGUGACGCUCUCUAAGUGGUACUUUUGUUAUGACUCUCAUUCCUGAAAUGGGACUUGAUUUUCAUGGUCAGUUAGAGAAUUUGGUGGGAGAGCUGGAGAAGAUGCAAAGUGUAACAAUGACAGAGAUAGUCAGUGACAUUAACCUGCUCUGAUGCCUGUGUAUAAUUGAAAAGAAGCCAGAGACACGGAAAAUAAAAUUGAGGUUUCAAUGGUGUGAUUAGCUGAUGCAAUCCUAUUGUAGUCUGAGAUGCCCAUGGCAAUAACCUGUAAACUGAUAAAUAAAAUAGUUUUCAUCACUUACU
This is a long non-coding RNA of Dromaius novaehollandiae (emu), 4067 nucleotides long. RefSeq lists it as uncharacterized. NCBI's taxonomy places the organism in Eukaryota, Metazoa, Chordata, Aves, Casuariiformes, Dromaiidae. The record is from RefSeq and is a predicted model, not a curated record. The transcript is spliced from 3 exons.